GGAGUGUCCAACGAUUCAUAUGUUUGGAGAGUUGCUGGAACUGGGCAUGCAAGGUUUAUGACAUACGAUGAAACUAAAAGGCAAAUAACAGGGGGAAAGUUAUUUCCACUAUUUAAAGUUAUCCAAGAAAAACUAAAAUUUAGUUACAUUAUAGUGUAACCGAUAGAAAAAGCCUUUGGACAUAAAGAUAAAAGUGGUAAGUGGAACGGAAUUACAGGACAAGUUGCCAACCAG
Centruroides sculpturatus (bark scorpion) is the source of this 234-nucleotide long non-coding RNA. RefSeq lists it as uncharacterized. Lineage: Eukaryota; Metazoa; Arthropoda; Arachnida; Scorpiones; Buthidae. The record is from RefSeq and is a predicted model, not a curated record. The transcript has 3 exons.